GGAAAAGCGCGCAUUGGUGAUGGUGGUGACGCAGCUGCUGCUGCUGCUGCUGCUCUGAGGGGAUCAGAUGCAACGGAGGGGGCUGUACAGGCCGAUCCCUCCCAUCGGCGGCGGCGUUUAUUGGCGACGACGACGAUGGCGAUAGUUGGGACAAGGCUGCCGCCACUGGGCUGGGUGCUGCCCAAGCACUCUCUUGGCAGAAUGCCGAUUGCGAC
This 215-nucleotide long non-coding RNA is filed under the name Volvox carteri. RNAcentral describes it as "long non-coding RNA (VCAR_LNC001559)". Lineage: Eukaryota; Viridiplantae; Chlorophyta; Chlorophyceae; Chlamydomonadales; Volvocaceae. The record is from RNAcentral.